AGAACAAUUUAAACGAAGAUUGAAAAGAGGAGCCAUGCAUGCAUUCAACACGGGUUUGUAAAAUUUUAUGAGGAGCGCUAUACUAGUUUUAUUGCUAGGAAAAUGGGGCUUUAUAUAUUUUCACAACACAAGUUGAUGAGGAAGUUUAGGGUUUGUUUGUGAGUAUGUAGGUAGCUAGCUAUAGGUAAGUAUUGGGGCGUAUUCAUUACGCCGAUUCUGUUGCCAGAAAUGUCUUAAUCGGGACGAAACGGGGGGGACCUGAAUAUUAGUUUAGAUUAAUAUUUACACCCCAGGGCCCGUCUUGCUGGUCGUGUAACAUGCUAAAGAUGCACAGUAAUUUGCAACCUUGUGAUAUACUCUUGCAAGGACAAUUGCUUGUGGCGAAACAAGGUUGCAUAAAUUAAAAUAAGGAAGCGAAGGCGUGACUUCUGGAGGUUCAGGAGUUUCACGUGCGAUGUUCCUUGGACAGAUUCUCUACGGAGAACCCUGCUUUCCACGGCGGUGACGGAACCACAUGUACCCUCACCUUUCUUGAAGCAGGAAGAAAAAGCCAUUUGCGAUCAUGGUGGGUGUCAGAGCGGUCUCGCCUGUCGUCCUUUAGGGAUCCUUCACAGUGAAGCAUGAGGAUCAGAGUACAGCUGGACUGUGGAAGUCUGUCUUUCUCCUACCCAGUCAACAGAAAACAUCUCCAAGUUCUCACACCUAUGGCGACGUGUUCACCUACUUCUGUAAUCUGGAUAAAGACACACACACCACCCUCUGAAGCUGCUACCAGAGUAUGUCUGGUCUGACAUCUAAGCGUCCUGAUGGCAAGGCAGAAGAAUGCAAAUCUCUUUGAAACCGAAGAAUCUAUUGGAGAAAUAAGUGGUCGCCAACUGAAUGUGCUUCAAGCUCAUUUGAAUAUUUUAAUAGACCUUUCCUUGUUGAUACCCAAAUCUUUUUCCUCAAACAUUCUGUUUCCUAUCACUCCUUGGCUUGAUGAAAUCUAUCUGAUAUUUUUCUUAUCAGAUGGUGUUGAAGGGAGACAAUCGCAUUCAAUAAAAUCUAACAACUUUUAAUAGAC
This is a long non-coding RNA of Oncorhynchus tshawytscha (Chinook salmon), 1063 nucleotides long. NCBI's taxonomy places the organism in Eukaryota, Metazoa, Chordata, Actinopteri, Salmoniformes, Salmonidae. The record is from Ensembl.